Molecule: long non-coding RNA, 635 nt
Organism: Gadus chalcogrammus (walleye pollock)
Lineage: Eukaryota; Metazoa; Chordata; Actinopteri; Gadiformes; Gadidae
Exons: 3
Source: RefSeq, a predicted model, not a curated record
UGCGUGCCUCGCACGUAGUCGCGUCGAAAACCGUGUGAAGCAAGCUAACAGCUGUCCCAUGAAUGUACGGUGAAUGCAACUUUUCCAUCUAAAUUUUCCCUCGUCUUGCACCCUUGGCAAGCGGAGCGAGGUUCACAGUGCUAUAUCGACAGAAGAAUUCCGCAAUAAAAGGUUGCACCCCUCAGAGACUCUCCGGUUACUUCGAUGUCAAGGGCUGCUACAAUAUAUAUAUGUAUAUAUAUUAGUGCUGUCAAGCGAUUAAAAUAUUUAUUCGAGAUUAAUCGCAUUAAUGUCAUAGUUAACUCACGAUUUAAUCGCACAUUUUUUUCCUAUGCUAAAUAUCCCUUGAUUUCUUUGUCCCAUUAAUUGUUCUCAUUUUAAUGCUCUUAUCAACAUGGAGAAGUGCAUCGGCUUUCCUUGUGGAAAUGUUUUUUUAUUGAUAACAACAUUGGCAUAUACUGAUCAAAACAGGACGAUGCAAAAAAAAAGCCUAUAGUGCAAUUAAACGAUGAACAUACAAACAUACUGCCUUGAACAUAGCAGUCAGGCUACUGCUUCUUUGUUUUGAGCCAAUUUUUUAUUAAUAAAUUGCGUUAAUCGCGCAAUAAAAAAAUGAACGCCGUUAAAAUUGGUUU